Molecule: long non-coding RNA, 246 nt
Organism: Arabidopsis thaliana (thale cress)
Lineage: Eukaryota; Viridiplantae; Streptophyta; Magnoliopsida; Brassicales; Brassicaceae
Product: other RNA
Exons: 1
Source: RefSeq
AAAGAAGAGGGAGAUCAGAGAGAUAAAACUGAAUACCAUUUGAUAAGGAGCGGUAUGACCUUACGAACCUGAAAUGUGUGAUUCAACAAUUAAGAUUAACAUGUAACUUGGUCUAUCUCGCACGCUUGAUAGUGUAUACGUAUAAUAUGUGUAUGUUAUUUAAGCCCGUAAAAGAGCGAACAAGGUGGUAACCAGCAAGAGCAAGUAUAAUCUUAAAAAAAUGAACGCAUGCUCCACUAAUCGAUU